Molecule: long non-coding RNA, 1098 nt
Organism: Cyprinus carpio (common carp)
Lineage: Eukaryota; Metazoa; Chordata; Actinopteri; Cypriniformes; Cyprinidae
Source: Ensembl
AUGGAGCUUAGAGCAAAUGGAUACUGGAUCAUCAGUGGCAGCAAGUUGGUUGCGAAAUUGAUUCACAUGUGUGUUCAGUGCAGGAAGCUGAGGCGUCCGGUAGAAGAGCAGCGCAUGGCUGAGCUUCCUAAAGAGCGGGUUGAAGCAUCUGCCCCAUUUACAUACUGUGGAAUGGACUGCUUUGGGCCAUUUGUCAUUAAAAGGUGUUGGAAGGAGUACAAAAGGUAUGGCUUGAUAUUUACCUGUUUCUAUUUCCGAGCUGUCCACAUUGAAAUGUUAGAAGAUCUAUCCACUGACUCCUUUAUCAAUGCUUUACGGUGUCUCAUCAGCCUAAGAGGAGUAGUGUGCCAACUGUACAGUGACCAAGGCAGGAAUUUCAUAGGAGCUAGGAAUGAAUUGAAAGAGGCACUUAAACAGUGUGACAACCAGGCUUUGGAAAUGUUUUUGGCUGAACAACAGUGUGAGUUUGUCUUCAAUGCCCCGUCAGCAAGCCAUGCUGGUGGAGUUUGGGAGCGCCAAAUACGCACUGUUCGAAGUGUGUUGGAUGCUACUUUGACCCAAAGUUUGGGUAGGCUUGAUGAUUCUUCCCUUAGGACACUCUUUUACGAGGCCAUGGCCAUUGUUAAUAGCCGCCCACUGACAGUAGAUGGAAUAAAUGAUCCCAACUCUCUUGAACCGUUGACGCCUAAUCAUCUAAUUCUAAUGAAGUCAAAAAUUGCUCUUCCCCCACCAGGGAAAUUUAUGAGAGAGGAUGUAUACUGUAAAAGGCGAUGGCGCCGAGUUCAAUAUUUGAUCGAGCAGUUCUGGAGUAGAUGGAAGAGAGAAUACCUUCAGAACAUUUCCACACGACAGAAGUGGCAUGUGGCCCGGCGCAAUCUCAAAGUGAAUGAUGUGGUCAUUGUAAAGGAAGACAUCCUCUCAAGAAACCAGUGGCAGUUGGGGCGAGUAGUGGAAACCUUCAUGGAUAGUGAUGGCUUAGUGCGGAGAGUCAAAAUACGAGUUGGAGAACAGAAAUCAGAAAAGCAUCAGUCUCCAUCUAAACCUUCUGUUAUAGAGAGGCCCAUUCAAAAGUUGGUGUUGCUUCUUGAAAGUGAAUAG